RNAcentral lists this ribosomal RNA (492 nucleotides) under uncultured bacterium. RNAcentral's name for it is "partial 16S ribosomal RNA". It matches the Rfam family "Bacterial small subunit ribosomal RNA", at positions 29 to 507 of the family's 1533-position model. The record is from RNAcentral.
AGUGAACGCUGGCGGUAGGCCUAACACAUGCCAGUCGAACGGCAGCACAGUAAGAGCUUGCUCUUACGGGUGGCGAGUGGCGGACGGGUGAGGAAUACAUCGGAAUCUACUUUUUCGUGGGGGAUAACGUAGGGAAACUUACGCUAAUACCGCAUACGACCUACGGGUGAAAGCAGGGGAUCUUCGGACCUUGCGCGAUUGAAUGAGCCGAUGUCGGAUUAGCUAGUUGGCGGGGUAAAGGCCCACCAAGGCGACGAUCCGUAGCUGGUCUGAGAGGAUGAUCAGCCACACUGGAACUGAGACACGGUCCAGACUCCUACGGGAGGCAGCAGUGGGGAAUAUUGGACAAUGGGCGCAAGCCUGAUCCAGCCAUACCGCGUGGGUGAAGAAGGCGUUCGGGUUGUAAAGCCCUUUUGUUGGGAAAGAAAAGCAGCAGGUUAAUACCCCGCUGUUCUGACGGUACCCAAAGAAUAAGCACCGGCUAACUUCGUG